UUUUAUGAGAGUUUGAUCCUGGCUCAGGACGAACGCUGGCGGCGUGCCUAAUACAUGCAAGUCGAACGCUUCUUUUUCCACCGGAGCUUGCUCCACCGGAAAAAGAGGAGUGGCGAACGGGUGAGUAACACGUGGGUAACCUGCCCAUCAGAAGGGGAUAACACUUGGAAACAGGUGCUAAUACCGUAUAACAAUCAAAACCGCAUGGUUUUGAUUUGAAAGGCGCUUUCGGGUGUCGCUGAUGGAUGGACCCGCGGUGCAUUAGCUAGUUGGUGAGGUAACGGCUCACCAAGGCCACGAUGCAUAGCCGACCUGAGAGGGUGAUCGGCCACAUUGGGACUGAGACACGGCCCAAACUCCUACGGGAGGCAGCAGUAGGGAAUCUUCGGCAAUGGACGAAAGUCUGACCGAGCAACGCCGCGUGAGUGAAGAAGGUUUUCGGAUCGUAAAACUCUGUUGUUAGAGAAGAACAAGGAUGAGAGUAACUGUUCAUCCCUUGACGGUAUCUAACCAGAAAGCCACGGCUAACUACGUGCCAGCAGCCGCGGUAAUACGUAGGUGGCAAGCGUUGUCCGGAUUUAUUGGGCGUAAAGCGAGCGCAGGCGGUUUCUUAAGUCUGAUGUGAAAGCCCCCGGCUCAACCGGGGAGGGUCAUUGGAAACUGGGAGACUUGAGUGCAGAAGAGGAGAGUGGAAUUCCAUGUGUAGCGGUGAAAUGCGUAGAUAUAUGGAGGAACACCAGUGGCGAAGGCGGCUCUCUGGUCUGUAACUGACGCUGAGGCUCGAAAGCGUGGGGAGCAAACAGGAUUAGAUACCCUGGUAGUCCACGCCGUAAACGA
Molecule: ribosomal RNA, 837 nt
Filed under: Enterococcus faecium
Lineage: Bacteria; Bacillati; Bacillota; Bacilli; Lactobacillales; Enterococcaceae
Description: bacterial SSU rRNA
Rfam family: Bacterial small subunit ribosomal RNA
Source: RNAcentral